ACAGGCUUAACACAUGCAAGUCGAGGGGAAGCGACAUCGAAAGCUUGCUUUUGAUGGGCGUCGACCGGCGCACGGGUGAGUAACGCGUAUCCAACCUGCCCACCACUUGGGGAUAACCUUGCGAAAGUAAGACUAAUACCCAAUGAUAUCUCUAGAAGACAUCUGAAAGAGAUUAAAGAUUUAUCGGUGAUGGAUGGGGAUGCGUCUGAUUAGCUUGUUGGCGGGGUAACGGCUCACCAAGGCGACGAUCAGUAGGGGUUCUGAGAGGAAGGUCCCCCACAUUGGAACUGAGACACGGUCCAAACUCCUACGGGAGGCAGCAGUGAGGAAUAUUGGUCAAUGGGCGAGAGCCUGAACCAGCCA
This 363-nucleotide ribosomal RNA is filed under the name uncultured bacterium. RNAcentral's name for it is "bacterial SSU rRNA". It matches the Rfam family "Bacterial small subunit ribosomal RNA", at positions 43 to 394 of the family's 1533-position model. The record is from RNAcentral.